GAAGAUAAGGGCGAUGGAGUUCGCCAUUAACUGCCGCGAGGCUAAUGACUCCUACCAGCGA
RNAcentral lists this non-coding RNA (61 nucleotides) under Paenibacillus sp. Its description in RNAcentral is "Fluoride sequence". It matches the Rfam family "Fluoride riboswitch aptamer (crcB RNA motif)". The record is from RNAcentral. RNAcentral also lists the same sequence under 1 other name. Lineage: Bacteria; Bacillati; Bacillota; Bacilli; Caryophanales; Paenibacillaceae.